GACGUAGGAUGCAAGCGUUGUCCGGAUUUACUGGGCGUAAAGAGCGCGCAGGCGGUCGUUCAAGUCGCGUGUGAAAGCCCCCGGCUCAACUGGGGAGGGUCACGCGAUACUGAUCGACUCGAAGGCAGGAGAGGGAAGUGGAAUUCCCGGUGUAGUGGUGAAAUGCGUAGAUAUCGGGAGGAACACCAGUGGCGAAGGCGACUUCCUGGCCUGUUCUUGACGCUGAGGCGCGAAAGCUAGGGGAGCAAACGGG
This 253-nucleotide ribosomal RNA is filed under the name uncultured bacterium. Its description in RNAcentral is "partial 16S ribosomal RNA". It matches the Rfam family "Bacterial small subunit ribosomal RNA", at positions 524 to 776 of the family's 1533-position model. The record is from RNAcentral.